This is a long non-coding RNA of Homo sapiens (human), 671 nucleotides long. Ensembl annotates it as PSMD14 divergent transcript. Its record names the gene PSMD14-DT. The record is from Ensembl. Lineage: Eukaryota; Metazoa; Chordata; Mammalia; Primates; Hominidae.
AGGUACCUCAGAUGAGUGGAAUUAUGCAGUAUUUGUCCUUUUGUGUGUACAACUAAUUUGACAGGCAGUAUGAUAAGGAACAAUCUGAAUGACACGUAAACAGGAGGGGGUAAAUUCCAAGCACAGCCUGAAUGAGAAGUACAACUCAUUUCCUGUAACCUAGAUGCCUUUUUAACACAUCUAUGCAGUCUCCAUGUGAAACCAGGUGCUGUUCCCAAAGGAGAAAACACUGCCCUCCAGUGGUCUUCAAUGAAGAAAUGGAAAUAGUUUCAGGUGGAAACCAGGCUUCUUGGAAGACUUCAAACUAUGCCAAAUGGUCUGAUUUCACCAUAGAGAAGGAAUGAUCCAUGGAAAGGACUUAAUUUCUCCAUUUUCUGGAAUCGAAAUAUAAGGGCUUUUUAGUUAAAGUUCUUCCUGUAGAGUGUAUUGUUGUGUUCCAUGAAACAGACAAAACUCAGCAAGACAACAAAGACUUGAUCUGUAAGAGAAGAAUGUUAUACUAUUAAUUGCCAAUUUGCAUAUGUGUGCAGCUGCUGUUUUGGCUCUGAACUCAAUCCGAUAAGCUUGCUGGAGGUAUCGCAGAGCACUUGGCAGCUUUCCUAUUUGAAAAGAAAGCCUCUCCCCUCUACAGAACAGCUGAUCGUCUAUCAGCGAUAGACCCUGAUGGCGUG